CUGGACUCUGAAUCCAGCGAUCCGAGU
Molecule: non-coding RNA, 27 nt
Filed under: Bombyx mori (domestic silkworm)
Lineage: Eukaryota; Metazoa; Arthropoda; Insecta; Lepidoptera; Bombycidae
Also listed under: 11 other names
Source: RNAcentral